This 460-nucleotide ribosomal RNA is filed under the name uncultured bacterium. RNAcentral's name for it is "partial 16S ribosomal RNA". It matches the Rfam family "Bacterial small subunit ribosomal RNA", at positions 338 to 795 of the family's 1533-position model. The record is from RNAcentral.
CCUACGGGCGGCAGCAGUGAGGAAUAUUGGUCAAUGGGCGGAAGCCUGAACCAGCCAAGUAGCGUGCAGGAUGACGGCCCUACGGGUUGUAAACUGCUUUUAUACCGGGGUAACAUGCUCUACGAGUAGGGUUUUGAAAGUACGGUACGCAUAAGGAUCGGCUAACUCCGUGCCAGCAGCCGCGGUAAUACGGAGGAUCCGCGCGUUAUCCGGAUUCAUUGGGUGUAAAGGGUGCUUAGGUUGUUUUAUAAGUUAGCGGUGAAAUACCGAUGCUCAACAUCGGGGCUGCCGCUGAUACUGUAGGACUAGAGAUCGGAUGCAGCAGGCGGAAUGUGUAGUGUAGCGGUGAAAUGCAUAGAUAUUACACAGAACACCGAUGGCGAAGGCAGCUUGCUAGGCCGGAUCUGACACUGAUGCACGAAAGCGUGGGGAUCGAACAGGAUUAGAUACCCCAGUAGUC